RNAcentral lists this long non-coding RNA (324 nucleotides) under Mytilus galloprovincialis (Mediterranean mussel). The record is from RNAcentral. Lineage: Eukaryota; Metazoa; Mollusca; Bivalvia; Mytilida; Mytilidae.
CGGUGACCUAUAUUUUUUAUCAUUGUUUUCAGAUAAGAUGUACAUAAACUAAAUAAUUGUAAACUUUAAGCGAUUUCUGUAAUUAGAUCAUUUAUUUAUUUCGAUAUUACCUCUAUUUCUCCUAUUAGUUCAACAGAAAAAAAGGACAUUAACAAAAAUGUAUGCUUCUUCCGGAGGCAGAUUGGGAGCUUAAAUGAACGGUGAUCCCAUUUUUUUAUUUCAUUUUUCUUUUAAGUAUAUGAUAAAGUUCAUUUAUAAAAAAAAUAUAGCGAAAUCCUAUAUCAGAAAAAAAAAAAUUGAUUUAUACCCAGGAGCCCCCUUAAU